AAGAAAGCUUGCUUUCUUUGCUGGCGACCGGCGCACGGGUGAGUAACACGUAUCCAACCUACCCUUUACUCGGGGAUAGCCUUUCGAAAGAAAGAUUAAUACCCGAUAGCAUAAUGAUUCCGCAUGGUUUCAUUAUUAAAGGAUUCCGGUAAAGGAUGGGGAUGCGUUCCAUUAGGUUGUUGGUGGGGUAACGGCCCACCAAGCCUUCGAUGGAUAGGGGUUCUGAGAGGAAGGUCCCCCACGUUGGAACUGAGACACGGUCCAAACUCCUACGGGAGGCAGCAUG
This 286-nucleotide ribosomal RNA is filed under the name uncultured bacterium. Its description in RNAcentral is "partial 16S ribosomal RNA". It matches the Rfam family "Bacterial small subunit ribosomal RNA", at positions 72 to 353 of the family's 1533-position model. The record is from RNAcentral.